RNAcentral lists this ribosomal RNA (1532 nucleotides) under Salmonella enterica subsp. enterica serovar Uganda. RNAcentral's name for it is "partial 23S ribosomal RNA". It matches the Rfam family "Bacterial large subunit ribosomal RNA", at positions 711 to 2141 of the family's 2925-position model. Lineage: Bacteria; Pseudomonadati; Pseudomonadota; Gammaproteobacteria; Enterobacterales; Enterobacteriaceae. The record is from RNAcentral.
AGACCCGAAACCCGGUGAUCUAGCCAUGGGCAGGUUGAAGGUUGGGUAACACUAACUGGAGGACCGAACCGACUAAUGUUGAAAAAUUAGCGGAUGACCUGUGGCUGGGGGUGAAAGGCCAAUCAAACCGGGAGAUAGCUGGUUCUCCCCGAAAGCUAUUUAGGUAGCGCCUCGUGAAUUCAUCUCCGGGGGUAGAGCACUGUUUCGGCUAGGGGGCCAUCCCGGCUUACCAACCCGAUGCAAACUGCGAAUACCGGAGAAUGUUAUCACGGGAGACACACGGCGGGUGCUAACGUCCGUCGUGAAGAGGGAAACAACCCAGACCGCCAGCUAAGGUCCCAAAGUCAUGGUUAAGUGGGAAACGAUGUGGGAAGGCCCAGACAGCCAGGAUGUUGGCUUAGAAGCAGCCAUCAUUUAAAGAAAGCGUAAUAGCUCACUGGUCGAGUCGGCCUGCGCGGAAGAUGUAACGGGGCUAAACCAUGCACCGAAGCUGCGGCAGCGAACGUAUCACCCAAGACAACUUUACGGAGUUGACGAUUGACGGAGCGAAGCGACGUCAAAGCGUUCAUUAAAGUCGAGUUGGCUUAGGGAUACGUUCGUUGGGUAGGGGAGCGUUCUGUAAGCCUGUGAAGGUGGCCUGUGAGGGUUGCUGGAGGUAUCAGAAGUGCGAAUGCUGACAUAAGUAACGAUAAAGCGGGUGAAAAGCCCGCUCGCCGGAAGACCAAGGGUUCCUGUCCAACGUUAAUCGGGGCAGGGUGAGUCGACCCCUAAGGCGAGGCCGAAAGGCGUAGUCGAUGGGAAACGGGUUAAUAUUCCCGUACUUGGUGUUACUGCGAAGGGGGGACGGAGAAGGCUAUGUUGGCCGGGCGACGGUUGUCCCGGUUUAAGCGUGUAGGCUGGUUUUCCAGGCAAAUCCGGAAAAUCAAGGCUGAGGCGUGACGACGAGGCACUACGGUGCUGAAGCAACAAAUGCCCUGCUUCCAGGAAAAGCCUCUAAGCAUCAGGUAACAUCAAAUCGUACCCCAAACCGACACAGGUGGUCAGGUAGAGAAUACCAAGGCGCUUGAGAGAACUCGGGUGAAGGAACUAGGCAAAAUGGUGCCGUAACUUCGGGAGAAGGCACGCUGACACGUAGGUGAAGUGAUUUACUCAUGGAGCUGAAGUCAGUCGAAGAUACCAGCUGGCUGCAACUGUUUAUUAAAAACACAGCACUGUGCAAACACGAAAGUGGACGUAUACGGUGUGACGCCUGCCCGGUGCCGGAAGGUUAAUUGAUGGGGUCAGCGCAAGCGAAGCUCCUGAUCGAAGCCCCGGUAAACGGCGGCCGUAACUAUAACGGUCCUAAGGUAGCGAAAUUCCUUGUCGGGUAAGUUCCGACCUGCACGAAUGGCGUAAUGAUGGCCAGGCUGUCUCCACCCGAGACUCAGUGAAAUUGAACUCGCUGUGAAGAUGCAGUGUACCCGCGGCAAGACGGAAAGACCCCGUGAACCUUUACUAUAGCUUGACACUGAACAUUGAGCCUUGAUGUGUAG